RNAcentral lists this ribosomal RNA (492 nucleotides) under uncultured bacterium. RNAcentral's name for it is "partial 16S ribosomal RNA". It matches the Rfam family "Bacterial small subunit ribosomal RNA", at positions 30 to 507 of the family's 1533-position model. The record is from RNAcentral.
AUUGAACGCUGGCGGCAUGCUUUACACAUGCAAGUCGAACGGUAACAGGCCUUCGGGUGCUGACGAGUGGCGAACGGGUGAGUAAUGCGUCGGAACGUGCCCAGAGGUGGGGGAUAACGCAGCGAAAGCUGUGCUAAUACCGCAUGUGAUCUGAGGAUGAAAGCGGGGGACCAGGCAGCAAUGUUUGGCCUCGCGCCUUUGGAGCGGCCGAUGUCAGAUUAGGUAGUUGGUGGGGUAAAGGCCUACCAAGCCGACGAUCUGUAGCUGGUCUGAGAGGACGACCAGCCACACUGGGACUGAGACACGGCCCAGACUCCUACGGGAGGCAGCAGUGGGGAAUUUUGGACAAUGGGCGCAAGCCUGAUCCAGCAAUGCCGCGUGCGGGAAGAAGGCCUUCGGGUUGUAAACCGCUUUUGUACGGAACGAAAAGGCUCUGGCUAAUACCUGGGGCUGAUGACGGUACCGUAAGAAUAAGCACCGGCUAACUACGUG